UACGGAGGGUGCGAGCGUUGUCCGGAAUCGCUGGGCGUAAAGGGCGCGUAGGCGGCUGGGGAAGUCGGCGGUGAAAGCCCGGAGCUCAACUCCGGGUCGGCCGUCGAGACUCCUCGGCUCGAGCUCACUAGAGGCAGAUGGAAUUCCGGGUGUAGCGGUGGAAUGCGUAGAGAUCCGGAAGAACACCGGUGGCGAAGGCGGUCUGCUGGGGUGAGGCUGACGCUGAUGCGCGACAGCGUGGGGAGCAAACAGG
RNAcentral lists this ribosomal RNA (253 nucleotides) under uncultured bacterium. RNAcentral describes it as "partial 16S ribosomal RNA". It matches the Rfam family "Bacterial small subunit ribosomal RNA", at positions 524 to 776 of the family's 1533-position model. The record is from RNAcentral.